GGGCAUUUUUAGUUUGGUUCCAUUAUUGCAAAGUAUAUAUUUCCCUCAUGUUCUUCUUGCUAUGUUCUCCAAUUUGUCUGUUUUGGGCGUUGAGGCAGAGAGACACUACUACUACUGGACUCAACCCCAAAAGGAAGAAAAAGAAGUAGCGGCCGGUGACUUUAUAAGAGAUGAGAUCAUAUGGACUCGAUCGGCUGCACCGGCAGUUCCGGAGAGGUUUUUAAUUGGCGGCUCCAGGGAUGGACAACCAGUCUUUAGGUAUUACACGCCCGCUCUGACAUAUGAUAUGGAGACCCGUAGUGUUUCUUAAAACUAUCACGAUAACACUGUACUACUACUAAUUAGGUGGAGUAUAAAUCUCGAGAAAGGCACGUGUCGUGUCAAUACAUCAACAUGAGACGAGACGCGUAACCUUGAGGAGGAGGAGAAGGGUCAUGAUAUGAUCCAUCACAAUUAUAUAUGAACUCCUAACUAAGUUAAUGGGGGUUGGCGGCAAUGGAAGCAGCGGCGUGCGUAUAGCAAAAUGAAUGAAUGAAUGAGAGGAUUAAAAUUGUGCUACGUACUUAAUCUGGUGCUUAUAUAUAUUUUUGUUGUUAGGAAAAGUAGGACCGAUCGACCGAUGUCAUUAAAUUUAUUAAUUUUCUCCAAAGCUAGCUAGCUUAUUGUUCGUGUUGAGCUGGGCAAGUAAUAAUUCCAUGAUUCUGUGUUUUGACGAAUAGUAAAGAUUAAAGUCGGUUCAAAUCGAUGAUUGCUUUUGACUUUUA
Molecule: long non-coding RNA, 764 nt
Filed under: Coffea arabica (coffee)
Lineage: Eukaryota; Viridiplantae; Streptophyta; Magnoliopsida; Gentianales; Rubiaceae
Description: long non-coding RNA (CARA_LNC000785)
Source: RNAcentral